GCAAAACAGGCGCUUAACCUGAACCUGCUGGGAACCACACAUGUAGUGGAGGAUGACGGGGCUCACCUAGGUGCAGGUUAGGCAGGUGAAGCGCCUCCCCCGGAAACAGAGCUGGAGCGCCCCACCUGCCCUGGCUGCACGGAUCGGAUCCAGCACUUCCAGGUUUCUUGAGCCAGCGGUGACAGCUGAGGCCAUGUGAGUCGGAUCCUGAAUGAGGCUUUAUCUCUGGGUCUUCAUCCAGUCCCAUCGUCCACCGUGGCACCAGCUCCCUCGGCCAGCUGGGAUGGAACAGGCAACCGAAAAAGGCAGAGCCAGAGAGGUGAUGCUGACUAUCCCCUGGACCGUGAGAGGAACAGGACUCUGGGCCUCUAGCUGCCACGCAGGUGGUGGGGGCUCCAGGCUGUGAUCAGUGCCUCUGACCACUGACGCUGCCCUCUGCCCU
Molecule: long non-coding RNA, 442 nt
Filed under: Camelus dromedarius (Arabian camel)
Lineage: Eukaryota; Metazoa; Chordata; Mammalia; Artiodactyla; Camelidae
Description: lncRNA (ENSCDRG00005007303.1)
Source: RNAcentral